This 29-nucleotide non-coding RNA is filed under the name Rattus norvegicus (Norway rat). The record is from RNAcentral. Lineage: Eukaryota; Metazoa; Chordata; Mammalia; Rodentia; Muridae.
UCCUUAACAAGAGGGCAAGAGCAAAGGCA